This 240-nucleotide unclassified non-coding RNA is filed under the name soil metagenome. Its description in RNAcentral is "partial contains 5.8S ribosomal RNA, internal transcribed spacer 2, and large subunit ribosomal RNA". The record is from RNAcentral.
AACAAGGCGUACCUGCGGACCUGCGGAGGGAUCAUUACCGAGUACCGGGUCUUCGGGCCCUGCUCCCACCCUCUGUGUACCUACCUAUUUUUCGUUGCCUCGGCGGGGCUGAUCCCGCGCGACCCCUGUGGCCGCGUGGGAGACCCGCCGGGGGGACACAACCUAAACUCUGAUUUAACGUCGAGUCUGAGAAAAACAAGAAUAAAUCAAAACUUUUAACAACGGAUCUCAGAUCGGAAG